GUGGGGAAUCUUGCGCAAUGGGCGAAAGCCUGACGCAGCCAUGCCGCGUGAAUGAUGAAGGUCUUAGGAUUGUAAAAUUCUUUCACCGGGGACGAUAAUGACGGUACCCGGAGAAGAAGCUCCGGCUAACUUCGUGCCAGCAGCCGCGGUAAUACGAAGGGGGCUAGCGUUGCUCGGAAUUACUGGGCGUAAAGGGCGCGUAGGCGGACAGCUUAGUCAGAGGUGAAAGCCCAGGGCUCAACCUUGGAAUUGCCUUUGAUACUGGCUGUCUUGAGUUUGGGAGAGGUGAGUGGAACUCCGAGUGUAGAGGUGAAAUUCGUAGAUAUUCGGAAGAACACCAGUGGCGAAGGCGACUCACUGGCCCAAUACUGACGCUGAGGCGCGAGAGCGUGGGGAGCAAACAGGAUUAGAUACCCGUGUAGUCC
Molecule: ribosomal RNA, 425 nt
Filed under: uncultured bacterium
Lineage: Bacteria
Description: partial 16S ribosomal RNA
Rfam family: Bacterial small subunit ribosomal RNA
Source: RNAcentral